Molecule: small nuclear RNA, 23 nt
Filed under: Arabidopsis thaliana (thale cress)
Lineage: Eukaryota; Viridiplantae; Streptophyta; Magnoliopsida; Brassicales; Brassicaceae
Description: snRNA_06848
Source: RNAcentral
UUCCGCUGACGCUUCGACAGCAC